Molecule: transfer RNA, 93 nt
Filed under: Mycoplasma todarodis
Lineage: Bacteria; Bacillati; Mycoplasmatota; Mollicutes; Mycoplasmatales; Mycoplasmataceae
Description: Mycoplasma sp. 5H tRNA-Ser
Rfam family: tRNA
About the family: Transfer RNA (tRNA) molecules are approximately 80 nucleotides in length.
Source: RNAcentral
GGGCAAUUACUCAAGUCCGGCUGAAGAGACAACACUCGAAAUGUUGCAGGGGUUUCACGACCCGCGGGGGUUCGAAUCCCUCAUUGCCCGCCA